This 197-nucleotide small RNA is filed under the name Rhinopithecus roxellana (golden snub-nosed monkey). Its description in RNAcentral is "transfer-messenger RNA (ENSRROG00000001972.1)". It matches the Rfam family "transfer-messenger RNA", at positions 56 to 264 of the family's 374-position model. From Rfam's summary of the family: Bacterial tmRNA, also known as 10Sa RNA or SsrA, is named for its dual tRNA and mRNA-like properties. The record is from RNAcentral. Lineage: Eukaryota; Metazoa; Chordata; Mammalia; Primates; Cercopithecidae.
GGGGGUCGGCCUCGUAAAAACGCCAAAGCCAUAACUGGCAAAACGAAUAACAACCUCGCUCUAGCUGCCUAAUCAGCUUUAGCGGUCCCUCCCUCCAUCGCCCAUGUGGUAGGAUCAGGGACUCACUCUAGUGGGAUACGCCGGAAGCCCGCAUCCUGAGGGCCAUGGAAGAGAAUAAUCGGGAUAGCCUCGCGAAA